UCAAUUGACUUCUGUAGCCUACCAUCUUGUAGUUUUUGGCACAGGUAUAGAAAAAUCGGACAAAUAUCGUUUAUAAUUUCCUGACAUUUUGCAGUAAGAAGACUGUCAAUGCAGACAAAUUUAAACUGAAAACAACAACUGAACAACUGAAAAAGACAACUGUAAACCCGCGAGCGUCUCACGCGCUGCGAAUGCGGUUGUAAACAUAUGCUACGCAUUCGCAGCGCGUGAGACGUCCGUUGAAUAUUUGACAGUCGAGUCGAGAGUUUUAGUCGUGAGUUUGCUACAGAAAAAUAAAGAAAAUGGCAAAAUAUGCACUAUUCGACUUUCCGGAUGAAGGGGCUGUGGACAUAGGCGAAAUAUCAUGGGUGGUAGGCGAAGUAAAUUUAAAAGAUCCUUUUGUAACGUAUAAAGUUAAUUGGCCAAACAAGGGAAGGAUUGUGUCAUGUCCAGGACAGAUUAUAUCAGUCAGUGACAACAGAGAGGAGUUAGUUUGCAAGAGGAGGCAUUAUCUUGAUGGUGGAGACAAACUGUCGAGCCCGGAGAAGAAAGGGAAGGGGAAAAGGAAGAAACUGAAGAAUGGUCGAUAUUCUGACGAUGACGACGACGUAGUAUCGCUGGAUCCUCAGUUAAUUCAAUGUGAGAAGAAGAAGAAGAAGAAGAAGAGAAAAAACACAGGUCUUAACGGCUUAAUGGAACUAGAAAAGCAAGGUAUUGGUGCAGUGAUGUACAAAUAUUCACCGUAUGGAAGUGCUUCUUAACAUCAGUGAAUUAUUGUAAUGUGAUGUAGCCUAAUGUUGUCUGUCAUAUUGUACACCAUGGGGUCGCCAACUGGCCUGCUUUGCCUGGCCUGUCAGAUCAUUUAGACUUUUUGCUUUCUGUCAAAAAUUAAGCAUAUUAACAAGAUUAGAUUUGAGUAUUCAUCUCCUGUUCCGCCUGCAUUGUCUACUCGCUCAGGCUCAUCCCCCAUGCUGACCUCUGUUGUACACUCUUGAUGUAACCCUUAACUCUAUGUGCAUCUUCUGUUUGUCAUAGGAUCAUGUCAGCUGAACUCAAUUAACGAAACCAGGAAUGAAGUAAACUGUCUGCACUUAAUUUUCUACCUACAAUUAAAGUUUUUAUUUCCUAUCUCUAUAGUAUAGGGAUAGAUACAGCAAUAUAUUCCUGUAAUCUAUCAGCUGUAAGCUUUGUACCCUCUAACAGGCUUCUGUAGGUAUUUGCCCAGGUGUAUGCCAGUCAGUUUUGUUUUUUUAAUGGAAUUUUUAUUUUCAGUGCCAUCACCCAUCUUGUGAGCUGUUGAGGGAGAACAACCACAGGCUGCAGAGGGAAAAUGAUUCUCUCUAGGCAAAAAUAGCAACAUUGAAAUUGCUGCCAGACGUUUUGCAGAAGAUGGAGGAGUUUCUCCGCUCAGCACCAAGACCAACGACAACACCAAUACCAACACCAACACCAAGACCAGAACCAUCACUAUCACCAGCACCAACAGCAGUUCCAGCACCAGCAACAGAAGACCCAUCACCAGCUCCAGGUCAUUCCAAAAGGACUUGUGGAGCGCUGCUCCUUCCAAAGCCCCCAGAAGUUCAUAAAUGAUCUCCUACAUGGGAUGUAUACCAGGGAAUAUAUGGCAGGCCAUUCAGUGACUGGCCAGUCAUCCAGCAGCUGCACAGAAGGAAAACCUGGCCUAGCCAAACAGGACCUUGUUGAAAUAACAAGUAGAUGCUGCAAAGUUGAAGUUCACCUACGUACCUGAUUCGAACAUAAAAGCAUUUAUACGACAAAAGCUGAACAAUGCUGCCAAAUUUCAGAAACAAUAAAUUAUCAACUGUUAAACUUUUGUUCUAUUUUUUUUGUAUUUUAGCAGUAUGUAGAAAACACUGUGUUAAUGGUGGUUGUAAGCCUAAUUUAUGUGCAGUGAAUUAUUGUUACAGCACUAUGGUUAAAAAUGGCAACAACAAAAAGUGAUACAGUUGAAAAUAUCCAUUAGGUAAAGUACAAUGACAUAGUUAAAAGAACAAACAAAUACUGCAUAAUGCAGUUAUUGUAAUGCAGUAUAUAUAGUGUAUCGUAAUUGUAGUA
Long non-coding RNA from Gadus chalcogrammus (walleye pollock), 2076 nucleotides. RefSeq lists it as uncharacterized. NCBI's taxonomy places the organism in Eukaryota, Metazoa, Chordata, Actinopteri, Gadiformes, Gadidae. The transcript is spliced from 6 exons. The record is from RefSeq and is a predicted model, not a curated record.